Molecule: ribosomal RNA, 390 nt
Filed under: uncultured bacterium
Lineage: Bacteria
Description: bacterial SSU rRNA
Rfam family: Bacterial small subunit ribosomal RNA
Source: RNAcentral
GACGAACGCUGGCGGCGUGCUUAACACAUGCAAGUCGAGCGGUAAGGCCCUUUCGGGGGUACACGAGCGGCGAACGGGUGAGUAACACGUGGGUGACCUGCCCUCAGCUCUGGGAUAAGCCCGGGAAACUGGGUCUAAUACUGGAUAUGACUCCACGGUGCAUGCCGUGGGGUGGAAAGCCUUGUGCGGCUGAGGAUGGGCCCGCGGCCUAUCAGCUUGUUGGUGGGGUGAUGGCCUACCAAGGCGACGACGGGUAGCCGGCCUGAGAGGGCGACCGGCCACACUGGGACUGAGACACGGCCCAGACUCCUACGGGAGGCAGCAGUGGGGAAUAUUGGACAAUGGGCGAAAGCCUGAUCCAGCGACGCCGCGUGGGUGAAGAAGGCCUGC